Molecule: ribosomal RNA, 460 nt
Filed under: uncultured bacterium
Lineage: Bacteria
Description: partial 16S ribosomal RNA
Rfam family: Bacterial small subunit ribosomal RNA
Source: RNAcentral
CCUACGGGAGGCUGCAGUGAGGAAUAUUGGUCAAUGGACGAGAGUCUGAACCAGCCAAGUAGCGUGAAGGAUGACUGCCCUAUGGGUUGUAAACUUCUUUUAUAUGGGAAUAAAAUGUUCCACGUGUGGGAUUUUGUAUGUACCAUAUGAAUAAGGAUCGGCUAACUCCGUGCCAGCAGCCGCGGUAAUACGGAGGAUCCGAGCGUUAUCCGGAUUUAUUGGGUUUAAAGGGAGCGUAGGUGGAUUGUUAAGUCAGUUGUGAAAGUUUGCGGCUCAACCGUAAAAUUGCAGUUGAAACUGGCAGUCUUGAGUACAGGAGAGGUGGGCGGAAUUCGGGGUGUAGCGGUGAAAUGCUUAGAUAUCACGAAGAACUCCGAUUGCGAAGGCAGUUCACUGGACUGCAACUGACACUGAGGCUCGAAAGUGUGGGUAUCAAACAGGAUUAGAUACCCCUGUAGUC